UCGAUUCCCUUAGUAGCGGCGAGCGAAACGGGAAGAGCCCAAACCAACAAGCUUGCUUGUUGGGGUUGUAGGACACUCUAUACGGAGUUACAAAGGACGACAUUAGACGAAUCAUCUGGAAAGAUGAAUCAAAGAAGGUAAUAAUCCUGUAGUCGAAAAUGUUGUCUCUCUUGAGUGGAUCCUGAGUACGACGGAGCACGUGAAAUUCCGUCGGAAUCUGGGAGGACCAUCUCCUAAGGCUAAAUACUCUCUAGUGACCGAUAGUGAACCAGUACCGUGAGGGAAAGGUGAAAAGCACCCCGGAAGGGGAGUGAAAUAGAACCUGAAACCGUGUGCUUACAAGUAGUCAGAG
Molecule: ribosomal RNA, 352 nt
Filed under: Staphylococcus aureus
Lineage: Bacteria; Bacillati; Bacillota; Bacilli; Caryophanales; Staphylococcaceae
Description: partial 23S ribosomal RNA
Rfam family: Bacterial large subunit ribosomal RNA
Source: RNAcentral